This 606-nucleotide ribosomal RNA is filed under the name Podila minutissima. RNAcentral's name for it is "eukaryotic LSU rRNA". The stretch from base 161 to 314 matches the Rfam family "5.8S ribosomal RNA". The record is from RNAcentral. Lineage: Eukaryota; Fungi; Mortierellomycota; Mortierellomycetes; Mortierellales; Mortierellaceae.
GUUACAGCAUCGAGUGUUUUAUGGCACUCUUUAAAAUCCAUAUCCACCUUGUGUGCAAUGUUUGUUGGGAAAGUCUUUUCUUUCCCUUCAUAAAUAUCAACCUAUAUCUUUAACAACAUUCGUCUGAUAACAUAUUAUGAAUAUACUUAAUUCAAAAUAUAACUUUCAACAACGGAUCUCUUGGCUCUCGCAUCGAUGAAGAACGCAGCGAAAUGCGAUACGUAAUGUGAAUUGCAGAAUUCAGUGAAUCAUCGAAUCUUUGAACGCAUAUUGCGCUCUUUGGUAUUCCGAAGAGCAUGCUUGUUUGAGUAUCAGUAAACACCUCAACCUCUCUUUUUUGAUAAAAAAAGGGAGGGUGGACUUGAGCUAUCCCAACGACCUUCACCGGUAGGCGGGCGGCUUGAAAUGCAGGUGCAGCUGGACUUUUAUCUGAGCUAAAAGCAUAUCUAUUUAGUCCUCGUCAAACAGGAUUAUUACUUUUGCUGCAGCUAACAUAAAGGAUAAUUGUCCUCUUUGCUGACUGAUGCAGGAUUUUACGACACUUUAUGUGUUGUUCAACUCGAUCUCAAAUCAAGUAAGACUACCCGCUGAACUUAAGCAUAUCAA